AUGGAGAAGACUGACGUGAUCCAGAAGGCCAAGCUGGCCGAGCAGGCCGAGCGCUACGACGACAUGGCCACCUGCAUGAAGGCAGUGACCGAGCAGGGCGCCGAGCUGUCCCACGAGGAGUGCAACCUGCUCUCUGUGGCCUACAAGAACGUGGUGGGGGCCCGCAGGUCCGCCUGGAAGGUCAUCCCUAGCAUCAGCAGAAGACUGACACCUCCAACAAGAAGUUGCAGCUGAUUAAGGACUAUCAGGAGAAAGUGGAGUCCAGCUGAGAUCCAUCUGCAAAAGGGUCCUGGAAUUGUUGGAUAAAUAUUUAAUAGCCAAUGCAACUAAUCCAGAGAGUAAGGUGUUCUAUCUGAAAAUGAAGGGUGAUUACUUCCAGUACCUUGCUGAAGUUGCAUGUGGUGAUGAUCAAAAACAAAUGAUAGAUAAUUCCCAAGGAGCUUACCAAGAGGCAUUUGAUAUAAGCAAGAAAGAGAUGCAACCCGCACACCCAAUCCGCCUGGGGCUUGCUCUUAACUUUUCUGUAUUUUACUAUGAGAUUCUUAAUAACCCAGAGCUUGCCUGCAUGCUGGCUAAAACAGCUUUUGAUGAGGCCAUUGCUCAACUUGAUACACUGAAUGAAGACUCAUACAAAGACAGCACCCUCAUCAUGCAGUUGCUUAGAGACAACCUAACACUUUGGACAUUAGACAGUGCAGGAGAAGAAUGUGAUGCGGCAGAAGGGGCUGAAAACUAA
RNA transcript from Nomascus leucogenys (northern white-cheeked gibbon), 736 nucleotides. It is a transcript of the gene named 14-3-3 protein theta pseudogene, with no coding region annotated. The transcript has a single exon. The record is from RefSeq and is a predicted model, not a curated record. NCBI's taxonomy places the organism in Eukaryota, Metazoa, Chordata, Mammalia, Primates, Hylobatidae.